UCAGUACGGCGAGUGAAGCGGCAAGAAGCUCAAAUUUGAAAUCUGGCCCCCUCGGGGUCCGUAGUUGUAAUUUGCAGAAGGAUGCUUCGGGAGCGGUCCCCAUCUAAGUGCCCUGGAACGGGCCGUCAUAGAGGGUGAGAAUCCCGUCUGGGAUGGGCGGCCGCGCCCGUGUGAAGCUCCUUCGACGAGUCGAGUUGUUUGGGAAUGCAGCUCUAAGCGGGUGGUAAAUUUCAUCUAAAGCUAAAUACUGGCCGGAGACCGAUAGCGCACAAGUAGAGUGAUCGAAAGAUGAAAAGCACUUUGAAAAGAGAGUUAAACAGCACGUGAAAUUGUUGAAAGGGAAGCGUUGUCCACCAGACUCGCCCGGGGGGGUUCAGCCGGCACGUGUGCCGGUGUACUCCUCUCCGGGCGGGCCAGCAUCGGUUUGGGCGGCUGGUGAAAGGCCCCGGGAAUGUACCACCCUCCGGGGUGUCUUAUAGCCCGGGGUGCCAUACAGCCAGCCUGGACCGAGGCCCGCGCUUCGGCGAGGAUGCUGGCGUAAUGGUGGUCAACGGCCCGUCU
Molecule: ribosomal RNA, 561 nt
Filed under: Ascomycota sp.
Lineage: Eukaryota; Fungi; Ascomycota
Description: LSU rRNA
Rfam family: Eukaryotic large subunit ribosomal RNA
Source: RNAcentral